GACCCUUCGGGGGCUUCCCCCAGCACCCCGGGGCCCCUCCACCCACUCGGACCUCUCCGGGCUCUGUGAACCCGAGCACCUGUCGGAAUGGCUCGGAGCCUCAGUUUCCUCAGCUGUAAAUUGGAAUGACGAGUACACGAGUGUGUGGCGCCCUUGUAGCCCUCCUUGCUCCAAGGCAGGGAGGAGGGCCGGCAGGAUUGGAACACCGUCCCGGGGCCGCUUCUCCUGCGGGCAGAUGCCGGAGUCCACGUGCUGUCCUUGUCCAUCCUUUAGUCGGUGACAGCUGGGACGGCGGGGGCUUCGCUUCCCCGUGAAUUGGGGUCAUUUAUUUAUUUUAACCCUUCCCUCCCGUCUUAGACUCAAUACUGUGUAUUGGUUCCAAGGCAGAAGAGUGGGAAGGGCUAGGCAAUGGGGGUCAAGUGACUUGCCCAGGGUCACCCAGCUAGGAAGUAUCUGAGGCCAGAUUUGAACCCAGGACCUCCAGUCUCUAGGCCUGGCUCUCCAUCCACUGAGCCACCCCACCGCUCCCUGAAUUGGGGUUUUAAAAAGCAUUCUUGAGCCCUCACCUUCCAUCUUAGACUCAGUACUGAGUAUUGGUUCCAAGGCAGAGCAGUAAAGGGCAAGUCAUGGGGGUCAAGUGACUUGUCCAGGGUCACCCAGCCAGGAAGUAUGAGAGGCCACAUUUGAACCCAGGGCUCCUGGCUCUCUAUUUUUGCCACCUCCUGUGAUUGUACUUGAGUGAGCAGAGCUGCCUGAAGGCCAUGCUAGCUGGACCGUCCAGUCGAAGCCCUCUCUGUUAUCAAAUAGCCCCAGAGAGCCCAAAUCCGACGCGCUUCCCACAGUGCCGCCCUCCUUCAGCCAGUUGUCGCGGAUUCUCUUCUGGUGUUUGGGAAGCCGGAGCGCCAUCUUUACUCUUUAGAGUGAUUUUGCCUUUGGAUUCCCAUCCAGCGCUUGCUUUUCUCCUUCCCCCCCCCCCCUCUCUCUGCCUCUCUGUCUCUGUCUCUGUCUCUGUCUCGCCCUUUCUCUCUCUCUCCCUCUCUCUCUGUCUCUCCCUCUCCCUCCCUCUCUCUGUCUCUCUCUCUCUCUCUCUCUCUCCCUCUCUCUCUGUCUCUCCCUCUCCCUCCCUCUCUCUGUCUCUGUCUCUCUCUCCCUCUCCCCCCCCAUCUCACAGCCAAAGUCUCUCUCUAUAUCUCUCUAUCUCACUCUCUCACACACCCUUUCUCUCUCUCUCUCCCGUCUUUUUCUCUCUCUCUCCCUCUCUCUGUCUCUCCCUCUCCCUCCCUCUCUCUGUCUCUGUCUCUGUCUCUCCCUCCUCCCAAACCUCAGAGGGAACCAGCUGCCGGAGGGACCAAGAAAGGCUUCUUGCUGAGGGUGAUGUUUUAGCUGAGACUUAAAGGAAGUCAGGAAACUGGGGAAGUGGAGGGGUGGAGAGAGUUGAGGGGGGAGGGGGCAGAGUGAGUGAAAAUGUCCAAGGUGAGGAGAUGAAGGAGGCCAGUGGUAUUGGGUCCCUGGCACAUGGGGAGGAAGGUCUAAAGGAAAGGGACCAAGUUCUGAAGCCAAACUGAGGAUCUAUUGGAUCCUGGAGAUCAAGAGGGUUGAGCACUGGAUAAGUAGAAUUAUCAGCGGAGAGACAAGCACUGAAACUAGGACUGCUGAUGAGGCCAUAAAUGAGAAAGUGGAGAAGCAGAAAAGAAGAGGAGCCUUAAGGGGGCACCUACAGUUAGUGAGUGUAACCUGCAAUGAGACAGAGAAGGAGUGGUCAGACAGGUAGGAGAAGAAACAAGAGGAGGCUGUUUCUUAGACCUAGAAAGAAGAGAGUAUCCAGGAGGAGGAGAAGACUUACUGUAUGAUAUGCCUCAGAGGCAGGACUUGUACCCAGAGAAUCCUGCUAUGAAGAUGGCUCUCUAGCCAUUAUGCCUUGUUGCCUUGCAUGCUCAAGGUGACAGGUGAUAAAUACCAGGGUUUUCUCUGGGUGCAGGUGUUGAACUCAGGACUUAUAACUCCAGAGCCAGAGUAAUGUUUAACCUCUCAUGACUUAGAAAUAAGAUAUUUACAUCUCAACUCAGCUACUUCCCAGCUGCUUUAUCCAUCAUCUCUGUAAAACCUCAGCUUGGAGUGAUGUCGAUCGCUCACCCAGACUCUAGUACUGUCUUGUUUUGGGUGGAGGCUGUGUCCCUGAGGGUGCCUGGGAUUGACCCUAGAUUUCCUGGGAUCAUGCCUAUGAUAUCUGCUAAUGGGGGAAUGUGAAGUGGACUGAGAGGGAAGGAAAAUAGUCUAAGCUCUCAGGCUGCAGUCUGGCCCAAAUGACCUAUUUGUUUCCCAAACCUGCCAUCUGUCUCCCUCCUCCAUAUCUUUGUAUAGCUAUACCCUAUUUCAGGUAUACUCUCCC
RNAcentral lists this long non-coding RNA (2389 nucleotides) under Monodelphis domestica (gray short-tailed opossum). RNAcentral describes it as "lncRNA (ENSMODG00000042227.1)". Lineage: Eukaryota; Metazoa; Chordata; Mammalia; Didelphimorphia; Didelphidae. The record is from RNAcentral.